Molecule: unclassified non-coding RNA, 117 nt
Organism: Pongo abelii (Sumatran orangutan)
Lineage: Eukaryota; Metazoa; Chordata; Mammalia; Primates; Hominidae
Rfam family: Metazoan signal recognition particle RNA
About the family: The signal recognition particle (SRP) is a universally conserved ribonucleoprotein. It is involved in the co-translational targeting of proteins to membranes. The eukaryotic SRP consists of a 300-nucleotide 7S RNA and six proteins: SRPs 72, 68, 54, 19, 14, and 9.
Source: Ensembl
GCUGGGUGUGGUGGCUCACACCUGUAAUCUCAGCAUUUCGAGAGGCUGAGGCAGGAGGAUUGCCUGAGCUCAGGAGUUCGAGACCAGCCUGAGCAAUAUGGUGAAAUUCUGUCUCUA